Molecule: unclassified non-coding RNA, 741 nt
Filed under: Kalmusia sp. 1 NV-2015
Lineage: Eukaryota; Fungi; Ascomycota; Dothideomycetes; Pleosporales; Didymosphaeriaceae
Description: sequence contains ITS1, 5.8S rRNA gene and ITS2
Rfam family: 5.8S ribosomal RNA (bases 384-537)
Source: RNAcentral
GUAACAAGGUCUCCGUAGGUGAACCUGCGGAGGGAUCAUUAAGAUGCGUACAGCCUCUGCGCGUGGCGGCCCUCGGGCCACCCGCGCACGCCCUGCAUCCUCGAUAUUACAGCACCUUGCGUUCUCCUUCGGCGGGUCAGCCCGCCGAUGGAAUCGAAACCUACCCUACGUGUAAGUGGCAUAUAAGAUGUGCAUGGAUAGCGGCCUCUGCAUGUGGUCCCCAACACGGUUGUUGGCGGCACAAGACAAGCCGGAUUUCCUGGGUCGUUGGGACGUAUACGGUACGGUUCCUGCAGCGCGAGGACACCAUAUGUACCUAUUUCCCCCUCAACCCCCAUCUUUGUGCUCCUAGCAAUACCCGUUCCGAAACAAACAAUCGUUACAACUUUCAACAAUGGAUCUCUUGGCUCUGGCAUCGAUGAAGAACGCAGCGAAAUGCGAUAAGUAGUGUGAAUUGCAGAAUUCAGUGAAUCAUCGAAUCUUUGAACGCACAUUGCGCCCCUCGGUAUUCCGUGGGGCAUGCCUGUUCGAGCGUCAUCUACACCCUCAAGCCCUGCUUGGUGUUGGGUGCCUGUCCCGCCCCGCGCGGCGACUCACCCCAAAUGCAUUGGCGGCGGCCCUUGCCCCUCCCGCGCAGCACAUUGCGCUUCUCGAGGCGGCGGGACCGCGUCCACGAAGCCGACACCCGUCUUUGACCUCGGAUCAGGUAGGGAUACCCGCUGAACUUAAGCAUAUCAAUAA